AAACUAAAUCCCCCAAAAUUUUGAACACCCGCUUCCUCUUCCUCUCUACUCUCUACACCCGCCAAAUCAACUUCAUUCUCUCCCUUCUUUCUCUCUGCAAACCCCUUCUUCUCCGAUCGACUUUCACUUCCUUCUAUGUGCAAACCCUAAUCAAACAUAACACAUUUGAAAUAGUAAUAUCUUCUUUCAUUUUCUCCCCUACUACUCUCUGUAAAACCUAGCAGCCGCCACCACUAGAAACAUGGAAAAUCCCCCAAAAUUUUGAAGUACCCCGCUCACUCCUCUCAAUAUCUCUUGCGCUUUCAUAUUUAUAGCCAGAGUUGGAGAGCGAAAAGAAGAAAGAAGAAAGAAAUGAUGUGAGGGUGUGAGGUGGCGUUCAAAGGUUGUCAAGGGGUUGUGAGGAGCUAUAGGGCUCAAGUUCGAGGUUGAAGAUUAGAAACCGAAGGUUGAAGAUCAGAUUUGGGAUUAGAUGAGUCGCUGGUACAACUGACGUCGUCGUGGUGUAGGUCAGAUGAGUCGCCGGAGUCCAGGCCAAGUAACAGUGUCGCUGGAGUUUCGGGAAGCUAACGAUGUCAUCAAUUCGAGUGCAGGUGAUGUGCCGAUUAUUGAUUUUGGAUCAAUUACUAACUGUUUGCCAUUUUCUUUCUAGAAAAUCAAUGUAGUGUCUGCUUCUUAAUCUUGUUCUCUAUGAGUACCAUUGUUACCGUCUCUGGUAAAAACAUCUAACCAUAUGCCAAAUUCGUUGAUUCAGGUUCUCCUCUUCUCCUUUACGUCCCUAAACUUCUUUUCAAUCAACACAAUUAAGUUUUUACUGCCCACUAAGUGUUUGAUUAUUUGCUUCACUGAGUAUUGCAAUAUUUGAUUAUCAAAUCAAGGCCCCUGUCUCAUCUUGUGUAAUCCAUUUUUGAUACUAGUAUUGUUGUUGUAUGUUAAAAGGCUACAAAAGUACCUGUUAAAGAGUAUGAGUUUGAUGAAAAGAAGAUGGCAAAUGUGCAGUCUCAUCUGGAAAAAUUGGUUGCCAAUAACUAUUACUUGAACAGGUCUCCAAAAGAUGCGUACAGAUAAAUAUAUUAUUCAUGAAGUGAAGGCAAGAAUAGUUGAAUGGUAUAUGAUUAUGAACAGGGGCAAAUGCGUAAAACAAAUUAUGAUUCUUUUUAUUAUGGAUGGUGCACAGGACAAGGGCGGGCUGGUCAAGACUGGAAGCUUUACACAUUCAUAUCCAUUUUGUUGAAGAUCUGAUACCCCUCUUAUCUACA
Non-coding RNA from Lactuca sativa (garden lettuce), 1256 nucleotides. The record is from RefSeq and is a predicted model, not a curated record. Lineage: Eukaryota; Viridiplantae; Streptophyta; Magnoliopsida; Asterales; Asteraceae.